AGGCGCGCAAAUUACCCACUCCCGGCACGGGGAGGUAGUGACGAAAAAUAACGAUACGGGACUCAUCCGAGGCCCCGUAAUCGGAAUGAGAACAAUUUAAAUCCUUUAACGAGGAUCAAUUGGAGGGCAAGUCUGGUGCCAGCAGCCGCGGUAAUUCCAGCUCCAAUAGCGUAUAUUAAAGUUGUUGCGGUUAAAAAGCUCGUAGUCGAAUCUGUGUCCCGCGCCGCCGGUUCGUCGCUCGCGGCGUUUAACUGGCGUGUCCGCGGGACGUCCUGCCGUGGGCUUUGGCCUCUCACGAGUCCUGGCCCAAUCUUAGUCCCGCCGCGGUGCUCUUCACCGAGUGUCGAGGCGGGCCGGCACGUUUACUUUGAACAAAUUAGAGUGCUUAAAGCAGGCUAAAACUUUGCCUGAAUACUUCGUGCAUGGAAUAAUGGAAUAGGACCUCGGUUCUAUUUUGUUGGUUUUCGGAACCCCGAGGUAAUGAUUAAUAGGAACGGAUGGGGGCAUUCGUAUUGCGACGUUAGAGGUGAAAUUCUUGGAUCGUCGCAAGACGGACAGAAGCGAAAGCAUUUGCCAAAAACGUUUUCAUUGAUCAAGAACGAAAGUUAGAGGUUCGAAGGCGAUCAGAUACCGCCCUAGUUCUAACCAUAAACGAUGCCAGCUAGCGAUCCGCCGACGUUCCUCCGAUGACUCGGCGGGCAGCUUCCGGGAAACCAAAGCUUUUGGGUUCCGGGGGAAGUAUGGUUGCAAAGCUGAAACUUAAAGGAAUUGACGGAAGGGCACCACCAGGAGUGGAGCCUGCGGCUUAAUUUGACUCAACACGGGAAACCUCACCAGGCCCGGACACCGGAAGGAUUGACAGAUUGAGAGCUCUUUCUUGAUUCGGUGGGUGGUGGUGCAUGGCCGUUCUUAGUUGGUGGAGCGAUUUGUCUGGUUAAUUCCGAUAACGAACGAGACUCUGGCCUGCUAACUAGGCGUAUUUCCGACAUCUCGAAGACCCGUCGGCUUGGUGUGCUCGUCACUCCUAGUCGUGCGCGGUUUUUACUGUCGGCGUACAAACAAUUCUUCUUAGAGGGACAGGCGGCUUCUAGCCGCACGAGAUAGAGCAAUAACAGGUCUGUGAUGCCCUUAGAUGUUCUGGGCCGCACGCGCGCUACACUGAAGGAAUCAGCGUGUCUUCCCUGGCCGAGCGGCCCGGGUAACCCGCUGAACCUCCUUCGUGCUAGGGAUUGGGGCUUGAAAUUGUUCCCCAUGAACGAGGAAUUCCCAGUAAGCGCGAGUCAUAAGCUCGCGUUGAUUACGUCCCUGCCCUUUGUACACACCGCCCGUCGCUACUACCGAUUGAAUGAUUUAGUGAGGUCUUCGGACCGGCACGCGGUGGCGUUUCUACGUCGCCGAUGCUGCUGGAAAGAUGACCAAACUUGAUCAUUU
This 1431-nucleotide ribosomal RNA is filed under the name Broxylus pendolensis. RNAcentral's name for it is "SSU rRNA". It matches the Rfam family "Eukaryotic small subunit ribosomal RNA", at positions 430 to 1774 of the family's 1831-position model. Lineage: Eukaryota; Metazoa; Arthropoda; Insecta; Coleoptera; Lycidae. The record is from RNAcentral.